AUGCCACAUUCACCCUCAAGGAGGAGAUCUCCUUCAAGGGAAUCUGCUCACAGGAGGGUCAACGAUUUCGGGAAUGCACUGCCUGCUAAACCAAAGGAUGAUGAGCUCACAUUAUUCGCUGAUAUGCAGAAAACUGAGAUUGAGAACUUCUUACUGGAACCAUCCGAGGAUUUUGAUGAAUCCAUCUCAAAAUUGAGCUUUUUCCCAGAUGUUAAGCUUGGUAUCAAUGUCCCAGCACGAGGGGAAAGCCAUGAUUUGCUUAAGGUGGAUGGUGAUAAAAACGAUUAUGAGUGGCUGUUGACUCCUCCAGAGACUCCACUUUUCCGUUCGUUAGAUGACGAAGAAGAACGAUCUGUUGGCCAGGCUUCCAGGGGUAGAGCUCAGAGUAAGGCCAUGCAAAUCUCGAGGCCAUCCACGAUGGAUAAUGCUCAAAGGUCUAGCAGAAGCAGUGCAAGCCCAAAUAGGCUUAGCCUGUCACCACGCUCUAUGGCAAGGACAAAAUCGCCUAUUUCAGCUUCUCGUGCUAGCCCACCACUUUCUGUUCAACCACCAACGCCAUCCCGAAGACCUUCAACUCCUCCAGCUGCUAAGAUAUUGACACUUCCACAAAGGUCUGCAAGUCCAGUCUCUAGAAGGAUGAGUACUGGUUCAAGUGGCUCAGCAUUAAAUGGAACAAGGGGAGCCUCUCCAGUUAAAGCUAAUCACAGAUCUUCUUCCCCAAAACCUCAAGGAUGGCAGUCCAAUGAUCCUGCUUUCUCUUAUAAUGCACCUCCAAACCUUCGUACAUCUCUACCAGAUCGUUCGGUAUCCCGUUCAAGGGGUGGAUCCCCUACAUCUUUCAGUGGACUAGAUACAGGUUCAAGAGGUCGAAGGCAAUCAAUGUCUCCUACUCCAACUAGAAGAGCCAGUUCAUCACAUAGCAUUGAACGAGAUCGAUUGAGCACACACAGCAAAGCUUCUGCAACAUCGUCUGGUGAUGAUGAUCUGGACUCAAUGCAGUCUAUAUCUAUUGGCUAUUCCAGCAGCCCAGCUGUAAAAAAGAGCUUGGCAGUGAUGAAGACGAGAAGUAUUGCAUCAUCAAAGAAGCUGUCCAAGAAUUUUUCCCCUAUCUCAGCCCCAAAAUGGUCAUUUGAUUCUGCUGUUUGGUUGAUGGAUCAUCGGAAAGGUCCUCAAGAUAGGUUCCGGCCACUUCUAUCAAGUGUCCCUGCCACCACAUUUGGUGCUGGCAAAAUAAAUAAUGUGCACAAGCCUAUGUUCUCACACAAUUCCUCUAUGACAACUAGCAGUAAUGCAAGCUCUGAGCAUGGUGCCACUUUUGGCCCUUAUGUGGAAAGCGACCAAGAGCAACAGGAUCUUAUUGGUGAAUGGGAAGCAGAUGACGGCCUUCGAGUUCAUGAGGACAUAUUUAUGUUUGAUAAGCUGGAUGAGUUGAAUGAAGAAACCAGUUUCAAUAAGAACACAAAAUAUGUAGAAGAUUCGCCCAUCCAAGUAAAAUACGUGAAGAGUGAUAAACAUGACUUUGAUAUGGAAAGAUGGGCAGCUAAUCAAACGGCAUAUGAUGGUGCAAAUAGUUCUCAGGUUGGACAUGGUGAAAUGGCUACUUGCAGUAGAUGUGGGAUGUCUUUCAAUGUGAUGGAUUUGGAUGGAAAAGGUGACUCUUGCGAAGAAUGCUCUUCAAAGGUUGGAGGAUUUUCUGCAGACCGUAUGUUAUGGACUUCAGAAGCACAUCAACAUGAUAAUAAAAUUGUAAAUUCUGGGCCUUACGCUGAAUCUGAACCUUCUAUGGCCCCAGAUAGUGUAGACUACAGCAAACAUGCAUCUCUUGGAAAUCAAACGGUGAACAAUGAACCUUCAGCGGAUUGUACAGAAAAAUGUCCUCCAGGCCAGUUGAUGGUGGAUACAGACGAGGACAUGCUGCUGGGGCAGGAAGUAGUGAAUCAUGAGAAUAUGAGGCCCUAUCAUGUAUCUGACUCCUUGCUGGAAAAUGAAGAUGAUAUUUCAUUUAGUCGAUCUAGCGUGAGUAAUCAUCAACAAACAGAACCAACAUCAGCGGAGCAUGGCCCUUAUGGAGGCCAAAUGGAUAGUUGCAAUCAUGGAUUACCCCCAUGCCUUAGCGAGUCAAACUGCCAACAUAAUGAAGCUGUAUCUGAAACUGCAUUUGGUGAUAAUUCUCAUCAACUGGGAUCAAAUAUACAUCCGUUUCCAAAGGUUGAAAGUGCUGGGAUAUCGGUACUCUUACACCAGAAAUCAAGCAGCAACAAAUGGCCGGUCAUGGAAGGGAGGGCUCUAGCUGCUACUAAUAUUGUUUGUUCUGAACCAUAUUAUACAAGAGAUGGUAUAAAUAUGAUGAAACGUAGCUUUGGACGUGACAGCUCUUCAGCUUCUUCCAUUGAUUUAGGAUCUUCAAGGCAAUCAGAUGCACGCUUUGAGCGCCAUAGUAGCAGUAAGAAGGGUGACAUUGAGAAAGCUCAACUAAGUAGUACUAUGAGUCAUCAAAGCAUAGCUUCGGUGUCAGAUAUGUCAGUUAGUGGUUCUUCAGCUUCACUUUGCCAUCAGAGUGAUGCGAUUGAAGACACUUGUUCCCGAAUUGACACUUUGGAAAGCAGUGCUUCAAGAACUGUGGUUUCUACCGGAGAAGAUAGCUCUAGUAAGGAUGCUUUGUCAAAUGCUCUUGAGUGUUUGUCUACUGCACGGCCUAUUGUCAAUGAUGACAUCCCUGUUGACUUGAACUCCUCGAGCUUUGAUAGGUCGAGUGAGACAGAAGAUGUAAUUAGUAUGGGUAGGAUGGCUGACAACGAUCACUCCAGCACUAAUAUGUGUUUGUCAGAGAUGGAAGAGCCAAUUAAUGUUCAAGAAUCUUCAGCUGCCGAGGGAAGUUGCAUGCUAAAAACAGAUGAAGAUACUUCUGAUACCGUUCAGUGCUGUUUAGCUGGCACUCCAGAAUAUCCAAGUGAGGAGAACUUAGAUAACCUUAUAAUGCAGUCUCAAUCUGAAGUAGUUCAGGAUUCAAUUGAGGAACACAUAUUGGAUGAUUGUUGUGUUUCUGCCAUCUCAGAGGAAGAUGUGUUGGUUUCUAGGACAGGAACUAGCAUAAUAGAACUUCCCAACGAUGAAAAAUCACCUCAGGCAGUAGAAGGGUCGAGGAAACAGAUUCAGAGGUGCUUCACUUUAGAAGAAGCUACUGAUACAAUUCUCCUGUGUAGUUCUAUCGUUCAUGAUCUGGCAUACAAGGCAGCAACAAUUGCACUGGAGCACGAGCAAGAAUCAGAAUGCCCUCGACCAACUGUUACCAUCAUAGGGAAAUCCAUUCGAGACGAGGAUGGUUUCCUUAAGCUGCCCCACAGAAGAACCCCAAAUCGUAAGGUUAAAAGGAAAAGAUUGGAAGGUGAAACAACAACCAUCACAGAAACCGCUGAAAAAGAAUCCGUCGUCGAAGAUCCUUCACCUGUACGUUCUGCUUCAGGAAUCACAAGGGCAUCUGAUAAUAUGAAGCCUCCAAAGUUGGAAUCCAAGUGCAACUGUGUAAUUAUGUAA
RNAcentral lists this ribosomal RNA (3534 nucleotides) under Triticum aestivum (bread wheat). Its description in RNAcentral is "partial small subunit ribosomal RNA". Lineage: Eukaryota; Viridiplantae; Streptophyta; Magnoliopsida; Poales; Poaceae. The record is from RNAcentral.